This 1065-nucleotide ribosomal RNA is filed under the name Tessaracoccus flavescens. RNAcentral's name for it is "bacterial SSU rRNA". It matches the Rfam family "Bacterial small subunit ribosomal RNA", at positions 66 to 1145 of the family's 1533-position model. Lineage: Bacteria; Bacillati; Actinomycetota; Actinomycetes; Propionibacteriales; Propionibacteriaceae. The record is from RNAcentral.
ACGGUAAGGCCCCUUCGGGGGUACACGAGUGGCGAACGGGUGAGUAACACGUGAGUAACCUGCCCUUGACUCUGGGAUAACAUCUGGAAACAGGUGCUAAUACCGGAUAUUCAGCUUCCUCUGCAUGGGGGUUGUUGGAAAGCUCCGGCGGUCAAGGAUGGACUCGCGGCCUAUCAGCUUGUUGGUGAGGUAAUGGCUCACCAAGGCUCCGACGGGUAGCCGGCCUGAGAGGGCGACCGGCCACAUUGGGACUGAGAUACGGCCCAAACUCCUACGGGAGGCAGCAGUGGGGAAUAUUGCACAAUGGGCGCAAGCCUGAUGCAGCAACGCCGCGUGCGGGAUGACGGCCUUCGGGUUGUAAACCGCUUUCAUCCAUGACGAAGCGAGAGUGACGGUAGUGGAAGAAGAAGCACCGGCUAACUACGUGCCAGCAGCCGCGGUGAUACGUAGGGUGCGAGCGUUGUCCGGAUUUAUUGGGCGUAAAGAGCUUGUAGGCGGUUUGUCGCGUCGGGAGUGAAAACUCAGGGCUUAACCCUGAGCCUGCUUCCGAUACGGGCAGACUUGAGGAAGGUAGGGGAGAUUGGAAUUCCUGGUGAAGCGGUGGAAUGCGUAGAUAUCAGGAGGAACACCAGUGGCGAAGGCGGAUCUCUGGACCUUUCCUGACGCUGAGAAGCGAAAGCGUGGGGAGCAAACAGGAUUAGAUACCCUGGUAGUCCACGCCGUAAACGGUGGGUACUAGGUGUGGGGGACAUUCCACGUUCUCCGUGCCGCAGCUAACGCAUUAAGUACCCCGCCUGGGGAGUACGGCCGCAAGGCUAAAACUCAAAGGAAUUGACGGGGCCCCGCACAAGCGGCGGAGCAUGCGGAUUAAUUCGAUGCAACGCGAAGAACCUUACCUGGGUUUGACAUAUGCCGGAAACAUCUAGAGAUAGGUGCCCCUUUAUGGUCGGUAUACAGGUGGUGCAUGGCUGUCGUCAGCUCGUGUCGUGAGAUGUUGGGUUAAGUCCCGCAACGAGCGCAACCCUCGUCCUAUGUUGCCAGCGGGUAAUGCCGGGGACUCAUAGG